Molecule: ribosomal RNA, 468 nt
Filed under: uncultured bacterium
Lineage: Bacteria
Description: partial 16S ribosomal RNA
Rfam family: Bacterial small subunit ribosomal RNA
Source: RNAcentral
GACGAACGCUGGCGGCGUGCUUAACACAUGCAAGUCGAACGGAAAGGCCCUGCGUUUGUGGGGUGCUCGAGUGGCGAACGGGUGAGUAACACGUGAGUAACCUGCCCUUGACUUUGGGAUAACUUCAGGAAACUGGGGCUAAUACCGGAUAGGAGCUCCUGCUGCAUGGUGGGGGUUGGAAAGUUUCGGCGGGUGGGGAUGGACGCGCGGCUUAUCAGCUUGUUGGUGGGGGAGUGGCUUACCAAGGCUUUGACCGGUAGCCGGCAUGAGAGGGUGACCGGCCACAUUGGGACUGAGAUACGGCCCAGACUCCUACGGGAGGCAGCAGUGGGGAAUAUUGCACAAUGGGCGGAAGCCUGAGGCAGCAACGCCGCGUGCGGGAUGACGGCCUUCGGGUUGUAAACCGCUUUCGCCUGUGACGAAGCGUGAGUGACGGUAAUGGGUAAAGAAGCACCGGCUAACUACGUG